CAGCCGCCGCGGUAAUACGGAGGGUGCAAGCGUUAUCCGGAUUUAUUGGGUUUAAAGGGUCCGUAGGCGGAUCUGUAAGUCAGUGGUAAAAUCUCACAGCUUAACUGUGAAACUGCCAUUGAUACUGCAGGUCUUGAGUAAAUUUGAAGUGGCUGGAAUAAGUAGUGUAGCGGUGAAAUGCAUAGAUAUUACUUAGAACACCAAUUGAGAAGGCAGGUCACUAAGAUUUAACUGACGCUGAUGGACGAAAGCGUGGGGAGCGAACAGGAUUAGAUACCCGAGUAGUCCCUGUCUCUUAUAC
RNAcentral lists this ribosomal RNA (301 nucleotides) under uncultured bacterium. RNAcentral describes it as "partial 16S ribosomal RNA". It matches the Rfam family "Bacterial small subunit ribosomal RNA", at positions 509 to 807 of the family's 1533-position model. The record is from RNAcentral.